ACUACUGAAACACUCUUAUAAACACUACUGAAACAUUCUUACAUACACGACUGAAGCACUCUUAUAAACACUACUGAAACAUUCUUACAUACACUACUGAAACACUCUUAUAAACACUACUGAAAUGUUUUUGUCUCACGCACACACACACACACCUGGAAUUAUUUUUCACUAGUAUGUAUAAACGGAUUUCACCUGUGUGUGUGUGUGUGUGCUUUUUACACGUGCGUGUGAGAGACAACAAUUUCAGUAGUAUGUGUGCAAAGAUUUCAGUUAUAUGUAUGAGCGCAUCUUACCAGUGUGUAUGCAAGCAUUUUACCAAUGUGUGUAAGAGCAUCUUACCAGUAUGUAUGGGAGCAUCUUAGCAGUGUGUGUAAGAGCAUCUUACUAGUGUGUGUGAGCGAUGUUGCAUUCCGGUUCCGGUCACCAAUAAUCCCCGCCCCUUUUCAGACAAGUUUUUUUUUUUUUUUUUUUUUUUUUUUAAAGCCAAGUUGUGGACAAAAUGUCUGCCGACGAGUCGCUUAACCGAGGUGGGAGCUCCACUUCAUAAUUUGAGGGCUUCAGCUGAGAAUAUAAGAACACUUACAAUGCAACAAGGGUCGGGCUGCCGCCGUUUGGUCGCCCCUGCAGGACGCGGCACCUGAGCGGCCACACAGGUGCCUUUCUCCUCCCGGCAGCCUGGAGCAAAUGUUACUUUGCGAGUUUACACCGCACAUAUGCAACGUUUCAGUUCAUGGACAUCGAAGCAAGAGGAGGAAAAGAGGCAUGACCAUUUCAACAAAGACGGAAUAAACAACCUCUGGAUUCAUGGAACUUCUCUGCACACAAAUAUAUUAAUUGGAAUAUUCAAUAAAUUUCACAUAGAAA
Long non-coding RNA from Nerophis lumbriciformis (worm pipefish), 867 nucleotides. RefSeq lists it as uncharacterized. The record is from RefSeq and is a predicted model, not a curated record. Lineage: Eukaryota; Metazoa; Chordata; Actinopteri; Syngnathiformes; Syngnathidae.